ACGCUGGCGGCGUGCCUAAUACAUGCAAGUAGAACGCUGAAGGAGGAGCUUGCUUCUCCGGAUGAGUUGCGAACGGGUGAGUAACGCGUAGGUAACCUGCCUGGUAGCGGGGGAUAACUAUUGGAAACGAUAGCUAAUACCGCAUAAGAGUAGAUGUUGCAUGACAUUUGCUUAAAAGGUGCAAUUGCAUCACUACCAGAUGGACCUGCGUUGUAUUAGCUAGUUGGUGGGGUAACGGCUCACCAAGGCGACGAUACAUAGCCGACCUGAGAGGGUGAUCGGCCACACUGGGACUGAGACACGGCCCAGACUCCUACGGGAGGCAGCAGUAGGGAAUCUUCGGCAAUGGACGGAAGUCUGACCGAGCAACGCCGCGUGAGUGAAGAAGGUUUUCGGAUCGUAAAGCUCUGUUGUAAGAGAAGAACGAGUGUGAGAGUGGAAAGUUCACACUGUGACGGUAUCUUACCAGAAAGGGACGGCUAACUACGUGCCAGCAGCCGCGGUAAUACGUAGGUCCCGAGCGCUGUCCGGAUUUAUUGGGCGUAAAGCGAGCGCAGGCGGUUAGAUAAGUCUGAAGUUAAAGGCUGUGGCUUAACCAUAGUACGCUUUGGAAACUGUUUAACUUGAGUGCAAGAGGGGAGAGUGGAAUUCCAUGUGUAGCGGUGAAAUGCGUAGAUAUAUGGAGGAACACCGGUGGCGAAAGCGGCUCUCUGGCUUGUAACUGACGCUGAGGCUCGAAAGCGUGGGGAGCAAACAGGAUUAGAUGCCCUGGUAGUCCACGCCGUAAACGAUGAGUGCUAGGUGUUAGACCCUUUCCGGGGUUUAGUGCCGCAGCUAACGCAUUAAGCACUCCGCCUGGGGAGUACGACCGCAAGGUUGAAACUCAAAGGAAUUGACGGGGGCCCGCAC
This 909-nucleotide ribosomal RNA is filed under the name uncultured bacterium. RNAcentral's name for it is "bacterial SSU rRNA". It matches the Rfam family "Bacterial small subunit ribosomal RNA", at positions 33 to 926 of the family's 1533-position model. The record is from RNAcentral.